AGAAUGAACGUUGGCGGCGUGGAUUAGGCAUGCAAGUCGUACGGGCCGCAAGGCCAGUGGCGCAAGGGUGAGUAAGGCGACGGUAACCAACCCCAUGAUUGGGUAUAGCCGCGGGAAACUGCGGGUAAUCCCCAGCGACGUCCCGGGGGGGCAUCUCCCUGGGACCAAAGCUCCGGCGUCGUGGGACGGGCUGUCGUGGUAUUAGCUAGUUGGCGGGGUAACGGCCCACCAAGGCUCUGAUGCCUACCGGGCGUGCGAGCGUGGCCCGGCACACUGGGACUGAGACACUGCCCAGACACCUACGGGUGGCAGCAGUCGAGAAUUUUUCUCAAUGGGGGAAACCCUGAAGGAGCGACGCCGCGUGGAGGAUGAAGGUCUUCGGGUUGUAAACUCCUGUCAUUUGGGAACAAUGCGCAAAUAUUAACUGUAUUUGCGUUGAUAGUACCAGAAGAGGAAGGGACGGCUAACUCUGUGCCAGCAGCCGC
RNAcentral lists this ribosomal RNA (485 nucleotides) under uncultured bacterium. Its description in RNAcentral is "SSU rRNA". It matches the Rfam family "Bacterial small subunit ribosomal RNA", at positions 26 to 518 of the family's 1533-position model. The record is from RNAcentral.